UACGGGGGGGGCAAGCGUUGUUCGGAAUUACUGGGCGUAAAGGGCUCGUAGGUGGCCAACUAAGUCAGACGUGAAAUCCCCAGGCUCAACUUGGGAACUGCGUCUGAUACUGGAUGGCUUGAAUUCGGGAGAGGGAUGCAGAAUUCCAGGUGUAGCGGUGAAAUGCGUAGAUAUCUGGAGGAAUACCGGUGGCGAAGGCGGCAUCCUGGACCGACAUUGACGCUGAUGAGCGAAAGCUAGGGGAGCAAACAGG
This 253-nucleotide ribosomal RNA is filed under the name uncultured bacterium. Its description in RNAcentral is "partial 16S ribosomal RNA". It matches the Rfam family "Bacterial small subunit ribosomal RNA", at positions 524 to 776 of the family's 1533-position model. The record is from RNAcentral.